RNAcentral lists this ribosomal RNA (433 nucleotides) under uncultured bacterium. RNAcentral describes it as "partial 16S ribosomal RNA". It matches the Rfam family "Bacterial small subunit ribosomal RNA", at positions 29 to 507 of the family's 1533-position model. The record is from RNAcentral.
AACGAACGCUGGCGGCAUGCCUAACACAUGCAAGUCGAACGAGACCUUCGGGUCUAGUGGCGCACGGGUGCGUAACGUGUGGGAACCUGCCCUUAGGUUCGGAAUAACUCCCCGAAAGGGGUGCUAAUACCGGAUAAUGUCUUCGGACCAAAGAUUUAUCGCCUUUGGAGGGGCCCGCGUUGGAUUAGCUGGUUGGUAGGGUAAAAGCCUACCAAGGCGACGAUCCAUAGCUGGUCUGAGAGGAUGAUCAGCCACACUGGGACUGAGACACGGCCCAGACUCCUACGGGAGGCAGCAGUGGGGAAUAUUGGACAAUGGGCGAAAGCCUGAUCCAGCAAUGCCGCGUGAGUGAUGAAGGCCUUAGGGUUGUAAAGCUCUUUUACCCGGGAUGAUAAUGACAGUACCGGGAGAAUAAGCUCCGGCUAACUCCGUG